This 830-nucleotide long non-coding RNA is filed under the name Marmota monax (woodchuck). The record is from RNAcentral. Lineage: Eukaryota; Metazoa; Chordata; Mammalia; Rodentia; Sciuridae.
GCGUGCCAACACGGCUGAACGGCGAGGUCGCCCGGGAUGGUGCCCCAGACCCUAGGACCCCACGAACACCAGGGAUGGCCACAGAGGGGGAGCAGACAGCACGGGGUAGGCCACAGCACGGCCCCACCCCAGGCCACUUGUACUGGCACCCAGGUGCCCUGGGGGCCAGGUCCUGCCCAGGCCAGACCAGGGACCCAACCACGAGACCAGAGAGGAAAAGGAGCCAGUGGUGCAAAGAUGCCCCCAGCGCUCCCGAGCUCCAUUAGUGCAUGGAGGUCGGGUCCGGUCUGCAGGAGAUUGGAAGGGCCGGCCUGCGGGGGCCACAGAGAGGCUGUCCCAGUGGGCCCAGGAGGACACCGUGCAGGACGAUCUGGGUGUCUGGCGAGGAGACUCUAAAGGCUGGGCGGCCCCCGUCUGGAAGAGCCCAAUUAUUAGGGAAGUGGAACAGGAGCUGCAGGAAGUUCUGACCCCGAGGGGCCCACGCUUGGUACCCCUGUCCUCUGAGCGCUGGUCCCUUGUUCCUCGUGCCAGGGAUCGAUGUGAUAUUGGCUCCAUUUUACCAAGAGGAAAACCAGGCUCCAAGGUGGGCAUCGGCUCUCUUCACCGCCCACUGCACUGGGGUCCUCCUGGGAAGCCCCCAGGCUGCUUGGCUGAGGAGGGCUUGGCUGGGGGGCUGCUGCAGGCACCCCCCUCAACUUAACUCCAGGCUAGCUCAGCAGCUGGGUCCUCCCUUCCCAGAGGACUUUCCAAAACAAAGGAGGGUCCCAGGCAGGCCUGGAUGCCCCUGCCUCAGCCCCUGGCCCCUCCAAUUUUGCACACAGGGACUCAGG